GAUGAGAGGCAGCUCUUCUGAGUUAAUGUAAUGCUGCUCAGAGAUGUAGGAGGUGAUAUCUCACUGCUGAGGAUGCUUGAACCUCCCGUCCCCACCUCUGCCAAGACAUGGCUGCAAGCUGGAUGCAAAUACCUGCUGGCAAGAUUUGGGUGGGGAAGCACUGGCUGUGGAAUGUCAUGUGUUACCUGUCAGCUCUCAAAAUGACACUUGGGCCUGAGUGGUUUGCAAAGGAAAAAAAGCAGGAAACUGAGUCUCACUCAUUUUGCUCACUUCUUGCAUCAUCGUCAGCAUAUGUGCUGUUGCAAUGGGAAGAACUCCAGGAGUGUUUAUGCCCAAGGGUGGAGAACAUGAGAGCCUGAGAGGAAUAAAGCAUAGCUGCUGUCUGAUGAAAUGCUGUGCUCUCUUCCUGCUAAGGAAGACAAGUGGCAGGUGAUCACAGAGGGUGUGGAGCUGCUCUGCAAGAAGUCAACAGGCAAGUGGAUAUGGCUUAUAAUAUGGCUGCUGUUCAACAAGGAAAAUACGUGAGACUACCUCUCCUGUUUAGUUUUUGGUACAUAAAAUUUGUGAUGUUCACCUUUGGCAUGUGGGUGGACUGCCAUUUUGGGUGGUGAUGGGGAAUACAACACUAAUUUGAGAGUCGGUGAUCAUGAUACAAAAGUGAUUGUAAGGCUGCACCCUGGUGCUUAUCUCUACUCUUUCUGUUGUUCAUUUCCUAUCUAUUGUUAUGGUUAUCACUUACAAUAAAAGAACAUUGAUUUACA
Molecule: long non-coding RNA, 761 nt
Filed under: Serinus canaria (Common canary)
Lineage: Eukaryota; Metazoa; Chordata; Aves; Passeriformes; Fringillidae
Description: lncRNA (ENSSCAG00000010669.1)
Source: RNAcentral